CUAGGUAAAAACUAAGAUAUGUCUACCUGCCGGUCUGCUGACAGUCUAACAAAACUUAUUAUUUUGUUGAUUUAAAGCUAUCCUUAGGCGGUCCCGGUGGCUCACUCCUGCAAUACUAGCAAUUUGAAAGGCUGUACCAGGGGGAUCACCUGAGGACAUGGCAGGAAGAUGGCUGGGCUAAACCAUGAAGAAGCCUCUCACCAGGAAUCAAUUUGGCUGGCACCUUGCUCUUGGAUUUCCCACUUUCCAAAUUCAUGAGAAAUAAAUUUCUGUGUCUUAAGCUUCCCAGUUUAAGCUACUUCCUUUUCCGUUUGUUCUUCAGAUCGAGUCAUGUUCUUAUCACCCAGGCUAGAGUGUACUGGCAGGAUUCUCCUACCUCAAGUGAGUCUCCCUCCUCAGCCCAGAGUCUCACUCUGUUGCCCGGGCUGGAGUGCAGUGGCGUGAUCUCAGCUCCCUGCAACCUCCACCUCAUGGGUUCAAGUGAU
This 485-nucleotide long non-coding RNA is filed under the name Pan troglodytes (chimpanzee). Its description in RNAcentral is "long non-coding RNA NONPTRT008215". The record is from RNAcentral. Lineage: Eukaryota; Metazoa; Chordata; Mammalia; Primates; Hominidae.